RNAcentral lists this ribosomal RNA (468 nucleotides) under uncultured bacterium. RNAcentral describes it as "partial 16S ribosomal RNA". It matches the Rfam family "Bacterial small subunit ribosomal RNA", at positions 28 to 507 of the family's 1533-position model. The record is from RNAcentral.
GACGAACGCUGGCGGCGUGCUUAACACAUGCAAGUCGAACGGAAAGGCCCUGCUUUUGUGGGGUGCUCGAGUGGCGAACGGGUGAGUAACACGUGAGUAACCUGCCCUUGACUUUGGGAUAACUUCAGGAAACUGGGGCUAAUACCGGAUAGGAGCUCCUGCUGCAUGGUGGGGGUUGGAAAGUUUCGGCGGUUGGGGAUGGACUCGCGGCUUAUCAGCUUGUUGGUGGGGUAGUGGCUUACCAAGGCUUUGACGGGUAGCCGGCCUGAGAGGGUGACCGGACACAAUGGGACUGAGAUACGGCCCAGGCUCCUACGGGAGGCAGCAGUGGGGAAUAGUGCACAAUGGGCGGAAGCCUGAUGCGGCAGCUCCGCGGGGGGGAAGAGGGCGUGGGGGUGGUAAACCGCUUUCGCCGGUGACGAAGCGUGCGUGACGGUAAUGGGUAAAGAAGCACCGACUAACUACGUG